Molecule: small nuclear RNA, 64 nt
Organism: Myotis lucifugus (little brown bat)
Lineage: Eukaryota; Metazoa; Chordata; Mammalia; Chiroptera; Vespertilionidae
Gene: U7
Rfam family: U7 small nuclear RNA
About the family: Animal histone pre-mRNAs are spliced by a different mechanism than nuclear pre-mRNAs and self-splicing introns.
Source: Ensembl
UAAUGCUCACAGCUCUUUUUGAAUUUGUCUAGCAGGUCUUCUAUUUUUUUACCGGAAGGCCCUA